This 923-nucleotide ribosomal RNA is filed under the name Acinetobacter guillouiae. Its description in RNAcentral is "bacterial SSU rRNA". It matches the Rfam family "Bacterial small subunit ribosomal RNA", at positions 49 to 966 of the family's 1533-position model. Lineage: Bacteria; Pseudomonadati; Pseudomonadota; Gammaproteobacteria; Moraxellales; Moraxellaceae. The record is from RNAcentral.
UUACCAUGCAGUCGAGCGGGGGAGAUUGCUUCGGUAAUUGACCUAGCGGCGGACGGGUGAGUAAUACUUAGGAAUCUGCCUAUUAAUGGGGGACAACAUCUCGAAAGGGAUGCUAAUACCGCAUACGCCCUACGGGGGAAAGCAGGGGAUCACUUGUGACCUUGCGUUAAUAGAUGAGCCUAAGUCGGAUUAGCUAGUUGGUGGGGUAAAGGCCUACCAAGGCGACGAUCUGUAGCGGGUCUGAGAGGAUGAUCCGCCACACUGGGACUGAGACACGGCCCAGACUCCUACGGGAGGCAGCAGUGGGGAAUAUUGGACAAUGGGGGGAACCCUGAUCCAGCCAUGCCGCGUGUGUGAAGAAGGCCUUAUGGUUGUAAAGCACUUUAAGCGAGGAGGAGGCUCUCUUGGUUAAUACCCAAGAUGAGUGGACGUUACUCGCAGAAUAAGCACCGGCUAACUCUGUGCCAGCAGCCGCGGUAAUACAGAGGGUGCGAGCGUUAAUCGGAUUUACUGGGCGUAAAGCGUGCGUAGGCGGCUUUUUAAGUCGGAUGUGAAAUCCCCGAGCUUAACUUGGGAAUUGCAUUCGAUACUGGGAAGCUAGAGUAUGGGAGAGGAUGGUAGAAUUCCAGGUGUAGCGGUGAAAUGCGUAGAGAUCUGGAGGAAUACCGAUGGCGAAGGCAGCCAUCUGGCCUAAUACUGACGCUGAGGUACGAAAGCAUGGGGAGCAAACAGGAUUAGAUACCCUGGUAGUCCAUGCCGUAAACGAUGUCUACUAGCCGUUGGGGCCUUUGAGGCUUUAGUGGCGCAGCUAACGCGAUAAGUAGACCGCCUGGGGAGUACGGUCGCAAGACUAAAACUCAAAUGAAUUGACGGGGGCCCGCACAAGCGGUGGAGCAUGUGGUUUAAUUCGAUGCAACGCGAGA